UCGAGAAUCUUCGGCAAUGGGCGAAAGCCUGACCGAGCGACGCCGCGUGCGGGAUGAAGGCCUUCGGGUUGUAAACCGCUGUCAGUGGGGAGGAAAUGCUGGAGGGUACUCCCUUCAGUUUGACCUAUCCGCAGAGGAAGUAACGGGCUAAGUUCGUGCCAGCAGCCGCGGUAACACGAACCGUACGAACGUUAUUCGGAAUCACUGGGCUUAAAGGGUGCGUAGGCGGCCCGGUAAGUUGGGUGUGAAUCCCUCGGCUCACCGAGGAUUGCGCUCAAAACUGCCGGGCUAGAGGAAGUCAGAGGUGAGUGGAACUUAGGGUGGAGCGGUGAAAUGCGUUGAUAUCCUAAGGAACACCAGUGGUGAAAGCGACUCACUGGGGCUUUUCUGACGCUGAGGCACGAAAGCCAGGGGAGCGAACGGGAUUAGAUACCCCGGUAGUCCUGGCCGUAAACGAUGAGCACUGGAUCGGAGACCACUCCAUAGGUUUCUGGUCGUAGCGAAAGUGUUAAGUG
Molecule: ribosomal RNA, 515 nt
Filed under: uncultured Planctomycetota bacterium
Lineage: Bacteria; Pseudomonadati; Planctomycetota
Description: bacterial SSU rRNA
Rfam family: Bacterial small subunit ribosomal RNA
Source: RNAcentral